Molecule: non-coding RNA, 148 nt
Organism: Homo sapiens (human)
Lineage: Eukaryota; Metazoa; Chordata; Mammalia; Primates; Hominidae
Rfam family: Metazoan signal recognition particle RNA
About the family: The signal recognition particle (SRP) is a universally conserved ribonucleoprotein. It is involved in the co-translational targeting of proteins to membranes.
Source: Rfam
GCUGGGUGUGGUGGCCCAUGCCUGUAGUCCCAGCUACUCGGGAGGCUGAGGUGGGAGGAUGGAUUGAGCCUAGGAGGUCGAGACUGCGGUGAGCCAACAUCGUGCCACUGCACUCCAGCCUGGGCAACAGAGCUAGACCCUGUUUCAA